RNAcentral lists this ribosomal RNA (253 nucleotides) under uncultured bacterium. RNAcentral's name for it is "partial 16S ribosomal RNA". It matches the Rfam family "Bacterial small subunit ribosomal RNA", at positions 524 to 776 of the family's 1533-position model. The record is from RNAcentral.
UACGAAGGGGGCUAGCGUUGUUCGGAAUUACUGGGCGUAAAGGGCGCGUAGGCGGCGUGUCAAGUCAGGCGUGAAAGCCCCGGGCUCAACCUGGGAACCGCGCUUGAGACUGGCAUGCUCGAGUUCGGGAGAGGAUGGUGGAAUUCCCAGUGUAGAGGUGAAAUUCGUAGAUAUUGGGAAGAACACCGAUGGCGAAGGCAGCCAUCUGGACCGACACUGACGCUGGGGCGCGAAAGCGUGGGGAGCAAACAGG